AGUUCUUGUGCUAUGACUGGACAACUGCAACUCUUCUGUUUCAUCACAAAUGACUUUAGGGCCAUUUGAGGAAAGGACAGGAACCCUGGCAGUUUCCUGAAACCUUCCGUUGACACCUUCUGAUAAGAGCAAGGGAGCACCUGUGGCGGUAACAGCGGUGGGAGAUCUGAAGGCCGCAGAACGAGCAGACCUUCCAGAAAUGCUCUGUGAUGGAGGUGACAGAGGCUUCCACCAGAGUGAACAAUGACUCUGAGUGAAAAGUAAGAUAAUGAAGCCUCUGAGAGGAAAAGUGACCAGAUGGGCUGGGCCCUGGCUGUAGAGACAUUUCUUAAUAUCUAUGUUUUGCUUGUAUUUUCCUUUUUCUUUUCUUCUCACGCAGCUCAGACUCAUCUCCAACUCACCACGUAGCUAAGGGCGGCCUUGAACUUCUCCUCCUCCACCUCCCAAGUGCUGUGAUUACAGGUGCCUUGCUCUGGGACAGCCAGCAUCCAAGAUGAAGACACUAAGGGAUCCAAAGAGGUGCACUGAGGCUUGUUGCCAAUAGGCAGCGACAUGAAUGAGCUGUGCUAGAAAUGGAUUGUCCAGUCCAUCAAGACUGCAGGUGACCAUGGUCCCAGGGACUGUUUUCCCUGAAGCCUGCACAGUGUUGGGAGCCAGGGAUUCAGAAGGGAGAUGGCCCGGUUUCUCCCUCCUGUGGCUGGUGAGCUGAUGCGGAUCUGGACAGGCACAUGUAUGCCCACAGGAUGCACAGUGAGUGUUGGUUUGUGGCCUGAGCACAGGGACUGCCAUGGGGUGGGGGAAGGAAAUAAGCAGACAGAAGAGAAGCCCUUCAGGAAGGAGUGGGUAGCCAGGGUCAGGGGUGAGAGGAAAACCUACUUUCCUUUCGAUGGCCUUUUGGCCCAUUUGGAUGUUUACUUUUCACCAAGUGUACACAGCAGAGUCAAUCAAUGGAACAAACAAUCACGGUUAAAUAAACGAUUCAGAGAGCAGGUGCUUUUGUAACUCCAAAAAUGCUGCCUGCUGUUCCAUGUGGUGAAAUGCCCAUUUCCCAGUGUCUUGGGCCAUUUUCUGUUGCUAUAAUAAAAUACUUGCGAUUUGGUGAUCUAUAAAGUAAAGAGAUAUGUUUAGCACAUGAGUCUAAAGGCAGGGGAGUUCAAGAACAUGGUGCCAGCAUGUGGUAAGGACCUUUGGGCUGUAUCAGAGCAAGGUAGAGGGCAUUACAUGAUGAGAAAGACCAGUGGUGCUCUAUAGAGCUUGGUUUUAUAACAAAGCCACUUCUGUGAUAACCCGUUACCCUAUAAAUCCACAAACAGGUGACCUCCAUUCAACCAUCCCAAGAGGUUCCACCUCUUAAGACUGCUGUGUUGGGAACCACAUUUCCAACACAUACAAAAUUUGGGAGACAAAAUGAAACCCUGCCUCCCUGUGCCUUACUUCUUCCCAGCACCUCCACAUGUGCCCCAUCUGAUCUGCAUCAGUCUCCUCCUCCUGGGGUUCCAGGAGGCUUCUGGGCCUUCUGACUCUUUUGUUGCAUUCUGCAAAAGGAAGAACCGACUGAGAUGAAAAGAGGGAGUGAAAUGCUUAGAUUUUGCCUUGGGGCUGGAGAGCUGGCUUAGCAGUUAAGAGCAUUGGCUGCUCUUGCAGAGAAC
This is a long non-coding RNA of Nannospalax galili (Upper Galilee mountains blind mole rat), 1649 nucleotides long. RefSeq lists it as uncharacterized. Lineage: Eukaryota; Metazoa; Chordata; Mammalia; Rodentia; Spalacidae. The record is from RefSeq and is a predicted model, not a curated record. The transcript is spliced from 3 exons.